GGCAUAUUGAACCUAAAGUCGAUGAGACAAUGGUGGGAAUGUCAGUGUACCCUAGUGGUUCAUGCUGGCUCUGUUGCAUCCAAGAGAAAACUGCAACUGCCUAUUGUGCUAUGGAAAAGCAUCUGAGUCCAGUUUGCCAGUAGAGACGGGAAAAUGUGAUCUGCAUUAGACGAAUUUACCAAGUUUGUCAUACUGAAGAGGUCAUCUCUUCCAAGAAGAUACGCUCCGGCUUGUGGGUUCCAGCUACGGAGUCAACCUAACACUGACUCAAGCACACCUCAGGCCAAGCAUUGUUCAUCUUCUUCUCUGAAGGAGGGACAUCGCUGUCUUAGAUGCUAACUGUCUGAGUUAUAGCCGUGUAUAACCAGAGUUCGGAACGAUCUGGAUCAGUUAAAAUCUGUGGACCAGAGCAACGUUGAGGCAACCUUCUGGACACAGAUGUUGAGUCAAGAAAGUUCUCCAAGCUAAUUCACCCUUUGCUGUGCUAGGAAGGAAUCAAAAUGCAUCUUUUCCUUGAGUCGCCAGUGGGAGAAGAAAAAUAAUUAGACUUUGCACAUCACACACAAACAGUUCAACCAAAGACACACAGAACUAGGGCUGAAGAGGGUGGAUCGCCUUUACUCAGUGUCUCGCAAAGGUUCAGCUUCCUGUCAAAUCUACUUUCAUCCUGCCAAAUCUACUCUGAAGUCUUGGCUCUAUUAAAGUUAAGAAAACACUCCCAGGUAAACAAAGCUUUAGGAGACUA
Molecule: non-coding RNA, 745 nt
Organism: Peromyscus maniculatus bairdii (prairie deer mouse)
Lineage: Eukaryota; Metazoa; Chordata; Mammalia; Rodentia; Cricetidae
Source: RefSeq, a predicted model, not a curated record